This 76-nucleotide transfer RNA is filed under the name Acidaminobacter sp. Its description in RNAcentral is "tRNA-Gln". It matches the Rfam family "tRNA". From Rfam's summary of the family: Transfer RNA (tRNA) molecules are approximately 80 nucleotides in length. Their secondary structure includes four short double-helical elements and three loops (D, anti-codon, and T loops). Lineage: Bacteria; Bacillati; Bacillota; Clostridia; Peptostreptococcales; Acidaminobacteraceae. The record is from RNAcentral. RNAcentral also lists the same sequence under 1 other name.
UGGGGAUUCGCCAAGUCGGUAAGGCAACGGACUUUGACUCCGUCAUUCGUAGGUUCGAGUCCUACAUCCCCAGCCA